This 72-nucleotide transfer RNA is filed under the name Cophotis ceylanica. RNAcentral describes it as "tRNA-Gln". Lineage: Eukaryota; Metazoa; Chordata; Lepidosauria; Squamata; Agamidae. The record is from RNAcentral.
CCCAAAUAGCUACACCUAGGGAGAGAGGGCUCGAACCCCAUCUAAGAAUCCAAAACUCCUCGUAUGUCCUAU